UACGUAGGGUGCGAGCGUUAAUCGGAAUUACUGGGCGUAAAGCGUACGCAGGCGGUUGAUUAGGUGGGGUGUGACAUUUCCGAGCUUAACUCGGAAGGGCCGCUCCAAACCAGUCGACUGGAGAGGUGCAGAGGUCGGUGGAAUUGCCAGUGUAGCAGUGAAAUGCGUAGAGAUUGGCAGGAACACCAAGGGCGCAAGCAGCCGACUAGGCACUGUCUGACGCUGAGGUACGACAGCGUGGGGAGCGAACAGG
Molecule: ribosomal RNA, 253 nt
Filed under: uncultured bacterium
Lineage: Bacteria
Description: partial 16S ribosomal RNA
Rfam family: Bacterial small subunit ribosomal RNA
Source: RNAcentral